Molecule: non-coding RNA, 602 nt
Organism: Arachis ipaensis
Lineage: Eukaryota; Viridiplantae; Streptophyta; Magnoliopsida; Fabales; Fabaceae
Source: RefSeq, a predicted model, not a curated record
AUGUGGCACUAGCAUUUAAAGAUUAGGUUGGACAUGUCUCAGCAACGGAACCGCUUAUACAAGGUAGGGAUAUUAUGGCUGUACACUCUGAGUCAGGUUCGCAGGAGAAGAAAUCAGGCAAUGGAUUGAAUGAGUUACUGAUUUGUAUUGCCGAGAACAUGCAGAACAACAUAAAGAUUAUCUAGUAGAUAGAUUUAAUAUACUAUCUUGAAUACAUUUAUACAGCCAGGAGUAUUAUAUUUGGGAUGGACUACUAAGUAGCAAGAAUGGUUUUCCUCUUUUCUUUCUCUACCAGCUUAUUUGGGAUGGUGAUUUUGGUAUGGAUUCCAAUGUGUGGUUCUACUCGAGUGCUUGAAAUGCAUAUAUAUAGCACGCACUCUUAGGAAAAGGAAAAAGAGUGAAAAAGAUAGUGUGAUAUGCCUUAUUUAGUUUUUGUUGUUGUUAAGGAAACUUGCUGACAAGGUUGCAGCUGCUGACUAUUAUGUGAAUCUGAAAAAUAACUUGCAACAUUUUUAGUGACAAAUAGUUUGUGGGACUACACAAACAUUGUCAUGAAUUUCCUCUCUGGAUCCAGUGAGGUAGGUAGAUGGAAGUAAAAGUUU